This 974-nucleotide ribosomal RNA is filed under the name uncultured bacterium. RNAcentral's name for it is "bacterial SSU rRNA". It matches the Rfam family "Bacterial small subunit ribosomal RNA", at positions 8 to 1023 of the family's 1533-position model. The record is from RNAcentral.
AGAGUUUGAUCAUGGCUCAGAACGAACGCUGGCGGCAUGCUUCAUACAUGCAAGUCGAACGCGUGGCUUCGGCCACGAGUGGCGCACGGGUGAGUAACGCGUGGGAACCUGCCUUCUGGUUCGGAAUAACCACGGGAAACUGUGGCUAAUACCGGAUAAGCCCUACGGGGGAAAGAUUUAUCGCCAGUCGAGGGGCCCGCGUCCGAUUAGGUAGUUGGUGGGGUAACGGCCUACCAAGCCGACGAUCGGUAGCUGGUCUGAGAGGAUGAUCAGCCACACUGGGACUGAGACACGGCCCAGACUCCUACGGGAGGCAGCAGUAAGGAAUAUUGGACAAUGGGCGAAAGCCUGAUCCAGCAAUGCCGCGUGAGUGAUGAAGGCCCUAGGGUUGUAAAGCUCUUUCGGCGGGGACGAUGAUGACGGUACCCGCAGAAGAAGCCCCGGCUAACUUCGUGCCAGCAGCCGCGGUAAUACGAAGGGGGCUAGCGUUGUUCGGAAUUACUGGGCGUAAAGGGCGCGUAGGCGGCGCAUGAAGUCAGGCGUGAAAGCCCCGGGCUCAACCUGGGAAUUGCGCUUGAUACUCUUGUGCUUGAGUUCGGGAGAGGAGAGUGGAAUUCCCAGUGUAGAGGUGAAAUUCGUAGAUAUUGGGAAGAACACCGGUGGCGAAGGCGGCUCUCUGGACCGAUACUGACGCUGAUGCGCGAAAGCGUGGGGAGCAAACAGGAUUAGAUACCCUGGUAGUCCACGCCGUAAACGAUGUGCGCUUGACGUUGGGAGGCGUAGCCUCUCGGUGUCGUAGCUAACGCGAUAAGCGCACCGCCUGGGGAGUACGGCCGCAAGGUUAAAACUCAAAGGAAUUGACGGGGCCCGCACAAGCGGUGGAGCAUGUGGUUUAAUUCGACGCAACGCGCAGAACCUUACCAACCCUUGACAUGGGACGUUUGGGCUCGGGGAGACCGGGUUCUUCAGUUCGC